GACGAACGCUGGCGGCGUGCUUAACACAUGCAAGUCGAACGAUGACGACCGAGCUUGCUCGGUCUGAUUAGUGGCGAACGGGUGCGUAACACGUGAGCAACCUGCCCUUCACUUUGGGAUAACCUCGGGAAAUCGGGGUUAAUACCGGAUAUGAGCUCCUGUCGCAUGGCGGGUGUUGGAAAGUUUUUCGGUGCAGGAUGGGAUCGCGGCCUAUCGGUUUGUUGGGGAGGGAGUGGCUCACCAAGGCAAUGACGGGUAGCCGGCCUGGGAGGGUGACCGGCCACACGAGGACUGAGACACGGCCCAGACUCCAACGGGAGGCAGCAGUGGGGAAUAUUGCACAAUGGGCGAAAGCCUGAUACAGCGACGCCGCGUGAGGGAUGACGGCCUUCGGGGUGUAAACCUCUUUCAGCAGGGAAGAAGCGAAAGUGACGGUACCUGCAGAAGAAGCGCCGGCUAACUACGUG
RNAcentral lists this ribosomal RNA (467 nucleotides) under uncultured bacterium. RNAcentral describes it as "partial 16S ribosomal RNA". It matches the Rfam family "Bacterial small subunit ribosomal RNA", at positions 28 to 507 of the family's 1533-position model. The record is from RNAcentral.